GACGAACGCUGGCGGCGUGCUUAACACAUGCAAGUCGAACGGAAAGGCCCUGCUUUUGUGGGGUGCUCGAGUGGCGAACGGGUGAGUAACAAGUGAGUAACCUGCCCUUGACUUUGGGAUAACUUCAGGAAACUGGGGCUAAUACCGGAUAGGAGCUCCUGCUGCAUGGUGGGGGUUGGAAAGUUUCGGCGGUUGGGGAUGGACUCGCGGCUUAUCAGCUUGUUGGUGGGGUAGUGGCUUACCAAGGCUUUGACGGGUAGCCGGCCUGAGAGGGUGACCGGCCACAGUGGGACUGAGAUACGGCCCAGACUCCUACGGGAGGCAGCAGUGGGGAAUAUUGCACAAUGGGCGGAAGCCUGAUGCAGCAACGCCGCGUGCGGGAUGACGGCCUUCGGGUUGUAAACCGCUUUCGCCUGUGACGAAGCGUGAGUGACGGUAAUAGGUAAAGAAGCACCGGCUAACUACGUG
RNAcentral lists this ribosomal RNA (468 nucleotides) under uncultured bacterium. RNAcentral's name for it is "partial 16S ribosomal RNA". It matches the Rfam family "Bacterial small subunit ribosomal RNA", at positions 28 to 507 of the family's 1533-position model. The record is from RNAcentral.